RNAcentral lists this long non-coding RNA (231 nucleotides) under Elaeis guineensis (African oil palm). RNAcentral describes it as "long non-coding RNA (EGUI_LNC031885)". The record is from RNAcentral. Lineage: Eukaryota; Viridiplantae; Streptophyta; Magnoliopsida; Arecales; Arecaceae.
UGAGAGAGCAUUAUAGAACAAUACAUCAGCCAAGUUUUUAUUAUCAAUAAGAACUCUUUUUACAUCAUAUUUUGCUAUCGUCAUAGAGACGACAAUAACAUUGUUGUGAGGGUUUUGGAUCUCCUUUAUAUCAUUUUUAGAAAAAGAAAUAACAUCUUCAAUUCUCUGCCUCUUUGAGAGCGAGUCAUCAGUGCCAGGUAAGAUGUCGAAAAUCAUAUUGAUAACACCAGC